This 667-nucleotide ribosomal RNA is filed under the name Microtyphlus fideli. RNAcentral's name for it is "partial large subunit ribosomal RNA". The stretch from base 261 to 420 matches the Rfam family "Bacterial large subunit ribosomal RNA", at positions 2473 to 2632 of the family's 2925-position model. The record is from RNAcentral. Lineage: Eukaryota; Metazoa; Arthropoda; Insecta; Coleoptera; Carabidae.
AAAUAAAAACUGUCUUUAUUUAAUUUAUUUUAGAAUUUAAUUUUUAAAUUAAAAAGUUUAAAUAUAUAUAAAAGACGAGAAGACCCUAUAGAGUUUUAUAUUUUAUUGUUUAUAAUUAAUUUAGAUUUAUUAAUUUUAUAUAUAUUAAAAUAUUUUAUUGGGGUAAUAUAAAGAUUAAAAUAAUUCUUUAAUUUUUAAUUUAUUAAUUUAUAUUAUUUAUUGAUCCAAUAUUAUUGAUUAUAAGUUUAAAUUACCUUAGGGAUAACAGCGUAAUUUUUUUAGAGAGUUCAUAUUGAUAAAAAAGUUUGCGACCUCGAUGUUGGAUUAAAGAUUAAUUUAGGUGCAAAAGUUUAAAAAAUUUGGUCUGUUCGACCAUUAAAUCUUUACAUGAUCUGAGUUCAGACCGGUGUGAGCCAGGUCGGUUUCUAUCUUUAUUAAAUUAAUAUAUUUUAGUACGAAAGGACCAAUUAUUAAUUAUAAUAAUUAAUUUUUGAAUAUUAUUAAAUUAUUUUGGCAGAUUAGUGCAAUGAAUUUAGAAUUCAUUUAUGUAAUUAAAUUACAAGUAAUACUUGUUUUAUAUAGAUUUUAUUUUUUUAUUUAUUAUUAUAUUAUUAUUAAUUAUUUGUGUAUUAAUUGGAGUAGCUUUUUUGACUUUAUUAGAACGUAA